Molecule: long non-coding RNA, 168 nt
Organism: Amblyraja radiata (thorny skate)
Lineage: Eukaryota; Metazoa; Chordata; Chondrichthyes; Rajiformes; Rajidae
Exons: 3
Source: RefSeq, a predicted model, not a curated record
UACAUCCACUCUAUCCAAUCCUUUCACUAUUCUGUAUGUUUCAAUGAGGUCCCCUCUCUUUCUUCUAAACUCCAGCGAGUACAGGCCCAGUGCCGACAAACACUCAUCAUAGGUUAAUCAACUCAUUCCUGGGAGCAUUCUUGUAAACCAUCUCUGGACCCUAUCCAG